RNAcentral lists this unclassified non-coding RNA (412 nucleotides) under Bombus terrestris (buff-tailed bumblebee). Its description in RNAcentral is "misc RNA ENSBTSG00005021749.1". The record is from RNAcentral. Lineage: Eukaryota; Metazoa; Arthropoda; Insecta; Hymenoptera; Apidae.
CAACGUACAAGUGGUCGACCGUUAUCGUCUUCGCGAGGGUGCCUGGAUUUUUCGGCCGGCUUUUUGCUCCGAUCCUCGUCUCGAUCCACGUCCCUGCGCAAAAGUCACGCGGUCUCCGAUACACAGGAUCAUUGGGCGAUAUAUAACGAAGCAAGCGAUUAAUCUUACGUUAGAAAAGGCGUUCGAAGCGGUGGCCGUUUGCAUCGAUUCAACGUUGGAAUCGUCAAAUUGCCGAAGGCCGUGCACUUCUUAUCGUUUGCGAAUCGUGCGACACUACAUUGUAAUAUUCUGCCUGUGCGUUGUAUAUAGAGUAUAAGAGUACAUAAGUUAAUGUCGAUACUUGAAUGCUUCGGUGCUUGGCGUGUAAAUUUGCGCGCUAAUAUAAGCAAAAAAUAUACCUCCGCUUUCGAGU